This 643-nucleotide ribosomal RNA is filed under the name uncultured bacterium. RNAcentral describes it as "bacterial SSU rRNA". It matches the Rfam family "Bacterial small subunit ribosomal RNA", at positions 235 to 884 of the family's 1533-position model. The record is from RNAcentral.
GGCCUAUCAGCUUGUUGGUGAGGUAAAAGCUCACCAAGGCUACGACGGGUAUGGGGUGCGAGAGCAUGACCCCACUCACUGGGACUGAGACACUGCCCAGACUCCUACGGGAGGCUGCAGUCAAGAAUCUUCCUCAAUGGGCGAAAGCCUGAAGGAGCGACGCCGCGUGCAUGAAGAAGCUCUUCGGAGUGUAAAAUGCUUUUAUCAGUGACGAAACAAUGACGGUAACUGAUGAAUAAGGGGCUGCUAACCUCGUGCCAGCAGCAGCGGUAAUACGAGGGCCCCAAGCGUUAUCCGGAUUUAUUGGGCGUAAAGCGUCCGUAGGUGGUUUGUCGCAUCUCCUGUUAAAUCUCUGGGCUCAACCCAGAGUCAGCGGGAGAGAUGGAUAAGCUAGAGACUGGAAGAGGCAAACGGAAUUGCUGGUGUAGGGGUUAAAUCCAUUAAUAUCAGCAAGAACAUCAAAUGCGAAGGCAGUUUGCUAGGACAGUUCUGACACUCAGUGGACGAAAGCGUGGGGAGCGAAUGGGAUUAGAUACCCCAGUAGUCCACGCCGUAAACGAUGGAUACUAAGCAUUGGAAGUAUCGACCCUUUCAGUGCUGUUAAUUUAAGGUAACCCGUUAAGUACCCCGCCUGGGGAGUACG